This is a non-coding RNA of Nothobranchius furzeri (turquoise killifish), 609 nucleotides long. Lineage: Eukaryota; Metazoa; Chordata; Actinopteri; Cyprinodontiformes; Nothobranchiidae. The record is from RefSeq and is a predicted model, not a curated record.
UGUGCAGAAGUUUGUGUUUAUUUUUCUAAAUGUGUCCUGUUGAAUGUAGGUCAGAAUAAAAUAUGUUUGUGAAAAUGAUAAAUAGAAUUUUUUUAGAACUGACCUGCAUUUUCAUAUUACUAGUUGUGCCACAGGUAAAGAAGCUUAGCCAUUAUUGAUCUAUGUAAACAGAAGGUGUAGAGUCUCAACCAACUUGCUGACAUUUUUGUUUAAAAAUGUGUUUUCCAGCUACUGGAAGAAGCAGGCUCCUGAAACUGCAAUUCAGGGAGGUAAUGUGCAGGCAACCUCGACACCCAGUAAGCGAACAGCAGCUAAAAUGUUGCAUCGAUUAUCUCCAAUUGAACCUGUGUCUGAGGGGCUGGGAUCCUAAAGGGAAAUUCCAUCCUACUUGUGUGGCUGAAGGACAUUGUCAACCAAUUUUGGUACAUUUGCCAGAAAGCACAACAUCGUGAUAUGUUUAAUGACAUGUGGGUGGGUGUGCUUCACCAUGUCACAGGGAAGCAUGAAUGGACCAGUGGCAAAUGUGACCAUGGACCACUUGAUGCAACGACCAGUGAUAAAGAGCUCAUGGUACCAUGAUCUCCACCACACGAUGCUCUUCAACGAAUC